AUGGUGUCUAAAUCCAACUAUUGUAAAUGGAAUUGUUUUCUAAAAGUAAAGAAGAGCUUGGAUUUAAAGAAAUCCUGGAGUCACUUUUCUCAGCUAAUAAACAGAUUCAAUAGCCAAGUUGGGCCAGCUGAAUUCGAUAUAUUCUCUCCUACUUGA
This 156-nucleotide long non-coding RNA is filed under the name Aotus nancymaae (Ma's night monkey). RNAcentral's name for it is "lncRNA (ENSANAG00000039164.1)". The record is from RNAcentral. Lineage: Eukaryota; Metazoa; Chordata; Mammalia; Primates; Aotidae.